UCUAAGUGUCCAAGUGAAAGGAAAAGCUGCAUAUCUCACCUUUUAAAUCAAAAGCUAGAAAUGAUUAAGUUUAGGUAGGAAGACAUGUCAAAAACCAAGAAAGGCCCAAAUUAGGCCUCUCGCACCAGUUAGCCAAGUUAGAAAAGCAAAGAAAAAGUUCUUAAAGGAAAUUAAAAAGUACUACUUCCGUGAAUACAUAAAGAAUAAGCAAAACAGCUUUAUUGCUGAUAUAAAGAAAGUUCGAGUGAUCUGGGUAGAUGAUCAAACCACAAUAUUCCCUUCAGACAAAACCUAAUUGAGGGCCAGUAUUAACUCUAUUGAAUUCUAGGAAAGUCAAGAAAGGUAAGGAAGCUACAAAAGAAAAUUUGAAGCUAAGAGAAAUUAGUUCAUGAGGUUUAAGGAAAGAAGCUGUUUUUAUAACAUAAAUGUUCAAGAUGUAAUAGCAAGUGCUGAUGUAGAAGUUGCAGCCAGUUUUCCACAAGAUCUAGCUAAGAAAAUCAAUGAGGGGGGCUACACUAAACAACAGAUUUUCAAUGUACAUAAAGCAGCUUUCUAUUAGAAGAAUAGACCACCUAGGAGUUUUAGAGCUAGAGAGGAAUCAAUGCCUGACUUCAAAGCUUCAAAAAAUAGGCGGCAAGUUGGUGGAAUAGUAAGCCACCAAGGGCUACAGCUCUCUGUGACUCCAAGUGAAGUUGAAAAGCAUUCUAGGCCAUAAGAACUGCAACUCUUAGGUGAGUCCUACGGCUGAACUAGGCCCAGAGAAGGGUAACUAGGGAGUCACAUGACGUACUGAGAUAGAAGCUGGGGUAGCCAAAGGAGUUCCGGCAAGGGAGUUCCCCUAACCUCAGGCUGCACACCUCAGAGCUCCAAAAGCGACUCUUCCCUUCUGCAUGAGGGGAGCAAAGGGAAGAGCAGAUAGGACUUUGUUUUGCAUUUUGGAUACCAGUUCAGCCACAGAAGAACUCUGGACACCAGCCAGAGUUGUGAGGUCCCUGUUCCAAGCCCUAGCUCCCAGAUGACAUUUCUAGACAUACCCUGGGCCAAAGAGAAUCUGCUGCCUUGAAGAAAAGAACCCAGUCCUGGCACCAUUCAUCACUUGCUAGUUAAAGAGUCCUUGGACCCUGAAUAACCAGCAGUGAUACCCAAGUCCUACAUCAAGGGCCUUUGUGAGCCUCUGAAACUUGCUGGCUUAAGGUAUCAGCAUGCCCACAGCAGGGUGGAGCACCAAGCAGCGUGUUGGAAUCCCUGAUUCUAGGACUAAAGUCUUAGAUGGCAUUUCUGGACCUGCCCUGGGCCAGACGGGAGCCCACUUCCCAGAAGGUGAGUCCCAGGCCAGGCAGCAUUCAGGACAAGCUAACUUAAGAGACCUUGGGCCUUAAGGAAAUAUUGGCAGUAUUCUGGAAGUACUCUUUGUGACCUGGGGUGGUGGUGACUCUGGGGUGAGGCUCCCCUGCCAUUGGAAAAAAACAGGGAAGAGUGGGAAGGACUGCAUCUUGUGGUUGGAGUACCAGCUCAGCUGCAAUACAAUAGAAUACCAGGUAGACUUCUACAAUUUUUGACUCUAGUCCCUGACUACUGGACUGUACUUCUGGACUCACCCAGGACCUGGUGGACCUCGCCAUCCUGAAGGGAAUGACACAAGCCUUGCUGCCUUUAAUAUCUACUGAUAGUCGAGUCUCAGGGCCUUGAGCUAACAUAGGUGGUGGCCUGGGAGUGGUUACAGCAGGCCUUGGGCAAGACUUAGUGCUGUGUUGGCUUCAGAUCAGACUCAGCACAGUUAUAGUGAUGGUGGCCACAGGGGUGCUUGUGUCACUCCAUCCCCAGCUUUAGGUAACUCAGAACAGUGAGAGAGAGAGAGAGAGAGAGAUUCUGUGUGUUUGGGAGGUUGUAAGGGAAGAGAACAAUAGUCUUUGCCUGAUAAUCCAGAGAAUUCUCCCAGAUCUUGUCCAAGACCUUCUAAGGUGGUAUGGUACCUCUACAAGUCUGCAAGAACCACAGUAUUACUGGGCUUUGGGUACCCUCUAAAGCAGAUGGAGUUUAGAUCACAACACCCAAGUCAUUUCAAAUACCCAGAGAGACUUCCCAAGAAGGACAGCUACAGAUAAGCCUGGACAUUGAUGACUACAAUAAAUACCCAACUCUUCAAUGCCCAGACACCAAAGAACAUCUACCAGCAAUGACACCAUCCAGGAAAACAUGGCCUCAACAAAUGAACUAAAUAAGGCAUUAGGGACCAAUCCUUGAGAAACAGAAAUAAGUGACAUUUCCCAUAGAUAAUUCAAAAUAGCUGUUUUGAGGAAACUCAAAGAAAUGUAUGAUAAUACAGGAAAGGAAUUCAGAAUCCUAUCAGAUAAAUUUAAUAAACAGAUUGAAAUAAUUAAAUAUAAUCAAGCAGAAAUUCUAAAGCUGAAAAAUGCAAUUUGCAUACUAGAAAAAGAAUUAGAGUCCUUGAAUAGAAGAAUUGAUCAAGCAAAAGAAAGAAUUAGUGAACUUGAAGAUAGGUUAUUUGAAAAUACACAGUCGAAGAGACCAAAAGAAAAAGAAUAAAAAGCAAUGAAGCAUGCCUACAGCAUGUAGAAAAUAGCUUCAAAAGGGCAGAUCUGCAACUUAUUGGCCUUAAAGAGGAGGUAGAGAAAGAGAUAGGAGUAGAAAGUUCAUUCAAAGGGAUAAUAACAGAGAACUUCCCAAAUCUAGAGUAAGAUAUCAAUAUCAAAGUACAAGAACACUACAGAAUACCAAGCAGAUUUAGCUUGAAAAAGCAUACCUCCAGGCACUUAAUAAUCAAACUCCGAAUGUUCAAAGAUAAAGAAAGGAUCCUAAAAGCAGCAAGAGAAAAGAAACAAACAAUAUUUAAUGGAGCUCCA
RNAcentral lists this long non-coding RNA (2864 nucleotides) under Homo sapiens (human). RNAcentral describes it as "HSALNT0271714". Lineage: Eukaryota; Metazoa; Chordata; Mammalia; Primates; Hominidae. The record is from RNAcentral.